This 711-nucleotide long non-coding RNA is filed under the name Struthio camelus australis. RNAcentral describes it as "lncRNA (ENSSCUG00000016983.1)". Lineage: Eukaryota; Metazoa; Chordata; Aves; Struthioniformes; Struthionidae. The record is from RNAcentral.
AUGCCACAGGAGGACCAACGGUGCCUCCUUCCCCCUGCCGGAGAGAUGAGGAAGCACCCAAGGGCCUUGUGUUCCUGGAUCCUGCACCUGCUGGCAGGGCUGCUCAUCAGGAAGGAACCCUCCAAGGACAUCCCUGUCACAGCCUUCCUUGAUGAGCUGCUGGGCUUUAGGGGAGAGGACAACACUGUCCAGAACUACUUCCUGAAGCACCUGCAAAGUCGGUGCAUGAUGAUGAGUGGCCUGGUGCUCGGAGGCCUCGUGAUGCUGUCUGAGAGACCUGAGGUGGCAAGAAAAACGUGCUCGGCUGCUGCCAAAAAUCAUGGGUCGACCGUAGGACAUGGAUAAGGAUGUCAGCGCAAAGGCCCUGCUUGUGCUUAGCCACGUGCUCCGUUUCAUGGACAGGCAGAUGGCUGGCCCCAUCGCUUUGCAACUAGCCGAGAAGCUCCUGCCACUACUUAGAUGAUGUAAAGGCUGGGGGGAGACCUGGGGGCCCUCUUGGCCUGUCCAUGGGCCUCUAGGCACGGUCAUGCCUGUGGUGUGUUUGUCUCCACGUGCAUUUGCAGGUAUGUGAAACCGUGCCUCCUGCCGUGGGCCCUGGGCACUGUCAGGAAACAUUUAGCCCUGUGGUUAUCAAGACCGUUGCCUUGUCCUGCCCUUGGUGUCCUAGGCUGUCUGCAGGCCAAUGCUUGCCCUCAGAGCCCAGAGGGCUCA